RNAcentral lists this ribosomal RNA (647 nucleotides) under Nia vibrissa. RNAcentral describes it as "partial 16S small subunit ribosomal RNA". It matches the Rfam family "Bacterial small subunit ribosomal RNA", at positions 351 to 965 of the family's 1533-position model. Lineage: Eukaryota; Fungi; Basidiomycota; Agaricomycetes; Agaricales; Niaceae. The record is from RNAcentral.
AGGUCCAAGAAUAUUAGUCAAUGCUCGAAAGAGUGACCUAGCUAACUGAAAUCCUAAAAAUUUGAAAACCAAAUUAAUAGGAUAAGGAUGUGAAAAAAUGAUAUUACCAUUAACUUGGAUAAAUUUAUUUCUCAGCGCCUUGUCUUUUCGAGGCAAGCGAGUGCUGAUUAUGUAAGUUUUUUUAUAGUUAUUACCUUAUAGUGCUGUCCAAUGCUCGUGCCAGAAGACUCGGCAAUGCGAGUAGCGCAAACGUUAAUCGUCUUAUGCAGGCGUAAAGGGUGUGUAGGCGGAAUGAAACUUAUAAAAAAUAAGAAGAAAACUAGAAUCAGAUUGGGGAUAGUCAGAAUAAUACUUUAUCAUGGGGCUAAAUCCAGAUAAAUAAAGGGGAAUACUAAUUGGUGAAAACUUUCUAUCUACUAAUGAUUGACGCUGAGAAACGAAGGUAGGGACAGAAAAUAGGAUUCGAUACCCAGAUAUUCCCUACUGUCAACGAUGAAUGGUGGCUGUUAGUUAGAGAACUAGUGGCCGAUGUUAACGCGAUAACCAUUCCGCCUUGCGAGUACGGGCCGCAAGACUGAAAAUCAAAAAAAUUAGUCGGUCUCCGAGCAAACGAAGUGAACAUGGUAUUUAAUUUCGAUAAAUCGGCA